GAGCCAUGUAAGCAUCUACAUCAUGGGUUGAGAUAACAUUAACCCAGUAACCUUUUUGAAAGAAUACAAUUCCUUUAACAUCUUCAGCACCAACGUCCACAUCAACAAAGCUCCUCUCCCAGCACCAAUUAUCUUCACUGCGCAUAGCAUCAGGGGAAUUAUGUUUGACCUCAAGUCUGUAUUUUCCAGGUAAGACAUUUGGAAAGAGAAAUUCAUCACUCUCAUCUGUCAAACUAAUUGACUUCCUUUCUUCAUUAUGGUUACCAGGUAAUCUCACCAGGGAAACAGAAACAGAUGAACCACAUCUCUCCUUGCAAGUUACAGAGCCCAGCACAUUGACAAGGGCCUGAGAAAAUUCUAUAUCCAAUAAUGGAUUUUUGACCAUAACAUCAAUGUAAGGUGGUAAGAAUAGAAGUCCAGAAGCACUCUCAGGAGUAGCGGCAAAAGCAGAUAAGCGAUAUUCACCAGGUGGGACCUCAAAGCAGAAA
Molecule: unclassified non-coding RNA, 488 nt
Filed under: Hevea brasiliensis (rubber tree)
Lineage: Eukaryota; Viridiplantae; Streptophyta; Magnoliopsida; Malpighiales; Euphorbiaceae
Source: RNAcentral